AAUAGAUUUAACCAUUAAGGAAUAACAACAAUCUCCAUGAGUUGGUAGUUUCGGUUGGGGUGACCUCGGAGAAUAAAAAAUCCUCCGAGCGAUUUUAAAGACUAGACCCACAAGUCAAAUCACUCUAUCGCUCAUUGAUCCAAAAACUUGAUCAACGGAACAAGUUACCCUAGGGAUAACAGCGCAAUCCUAUUCAAGAGUCCAUAUCGACAAUAGGGUUUACGACCUCGAUGUUGGAUCAGGACAUCCUGAUGGUGCAACCGCUAUCAAAGGUUCGUUUGUUCAACGAUUAAAGUCCUACGUGAUCUGAGUUCAGACCGGAGUAAUCCAGGUCGGUUUCUAUCUAUUACGUAUUUCUCCCAGUACGAAAGGACAAGAGAAAUAAGGCCAACUUUAAAUCAAGCGCCUUAAGACAACCAAUGAUAACAUCUCAACUGACAACACAAAACCCUGCCCUAGAACAGGGCUUAGUUAAGGUGGCAGAGCCCGGUAAUUGCAUAAAACUUAAACUUUUAUAUCCAGAGAUUCAAAUCCUCUCCUUAACAAAAUGUUCAUAAUUAACAUCUUAAUACUAAUUAUUCCCAUCCUAUUGGCCGUAGCAUUCCUUACGUUAGUGGAACGAAAAGUUCUAGGCUAUAUACAACUCCGAAAAGGUCCAAAUGUCGUAGGUCCAUAUGGCCUACUUCAACCCAUCGCCGAUGCAAUCAAACUUUUCAUUAA
Molecule: ribosomal RNA, 720 nt
Filed under: Bos taurus (domestic cattle)
Lineage: Eukaryota; Metazoa; Chordata; Mammalia; Artiodactyla; Bovidae
Description: partial 16S ribosomal RNA
Rfam family: Bacterial large subunit ribosomal RNA (bases 1-512)
Source: RNAcentral